UUGUUUGUUUGAUCCGUUGUGGUUUUAUGGGGGGAGGUUGCGAGCUGGCUCAUUUCUUGCUGGGAGCAGUGACUUGCUAAUGUCUCAGUUGGUUGCCUAUCAACUGUUCACCAGCCAAGACAGAGCCCGGCAUAUAAACUCCUGUAAAAAUAGCAAUUACUUGUUUUUACACUUCAGUUCGUGUGUAUAGAUUAAACAAAUGUUGUAUUAUGUCUUAAUCAGUGAGCUUUAGAGGUGCUGGUAGAUUAACUUUGUUAGCUCUCGACAGAGCCACACUAGCUGUUUCCCUGUUUGUGCUAAGCUAAGCCAACCGACUGCUGGUUCAGAAAGGAGACUGGCAUCGAUCUCACCAAGCUUUGCACAUGAUGUGGGAACAUACUGACCCGACAACUAUCCACAACAACAGAGCAAGCUCUCCAGAGGAAGACCAUGAGAUGUGCUUAAGCUCUAGAAUUAGUGCAGAGGAAGGAGAACAGAUGCUUUGGACACAGGCAACUUCCUCUCAUGAUAUUUGAAUGGUGAAGAGAUCGAAGAGAGGCUGACUGCACGGUUGGCUGAGAGCCUCUGUAGGGCCUGAUAGGUGGCCCCACUCUUCAUCACUCUGAGGUCAGUGAAGGGCCACAAACAUAGUGGCUCCACUUACGCACAACUUUCAAAAAGGGGAAGGUGAUAUGACAAUAUAUAUUGUGGGACAAUAUAAAUCUGACAAAUCUCAAAUGUUUUUUAUAUUUUUACUUUUACU
Long non-coding RNA from Micropterus dolomieu (smallmouth bass), 742 nucleotides. RefSeq lists it as uncharacterized. The record is from RefSeq and is a predicted model, not a curated record. The transcript has 3 exons. NCBI's taxonomy places the organism in Eukaryota, Metazoa, Chordata, Actinopteri, Centrarchiformes, Centrarchidae.